This is a ribosomal RNA of Otolemur garnettii (small-eared galago), 119 nucleotides long. The record is from Ensembl. NCBI's taxonomy places the organism in Eukaryota, Metazoa, Chordata, Mammalia, Primates, Galagidae.
AUCUUUGGUCAUUCCACCCUGAAUGUGCCUGAUUGCACCUGAUCUUGGAAGCUAAGCAGGGUUGGGCCUGGUUAGUACUGGGACGGGAGACCGGGUUGGAAUACCAGGUGCUGUAGGGU